This 253-nucleotide ribosomal RNA is filed under the name uncultured bacterium. RNAcentral describes it as "partial 16S ribosomal RNA". It matches the Rfam family "Bacterial small subunit ribosomal RNA", at positions 524 to 776 of the family's 1533-position model. The record is from RNAcentral.
GACAGAGGGUGCAAACGUUGUUCGGAAUUACUGGGCGUAAAGCGCGUGUAGGCCGCUCCGAAAGUCGGAUGUGAAAGCCCCGGGCUCAACCUGGGAAUUGCAUUCGAGACUGCAUAGCUAGGAUGCGGAAGAGGGAAGCGGAAUUUCCGGUGUAGCGGUGAAAUGCGUAGAUAUCGGAAGGAACACCAGUGGCGAAAGCGGCUUCCUGGUCCAGCAUCGACGUUCAGGCACGAAAGCGUGGGGAGCAAACAGG